RNAcentral lists this ribosomal RNA (752 nucleotides) under uncultured beta proteobacterium. RNAcentral describes it as "bacterial SSU rRNA". It matches the Rfam family "Bacterial small subunit ribosomal RNA", at positions 8 to 751 of the family's 1533-position model. Lineage: Bacteria; Pseudomonadati; Pseudomonadota; Betaproteobacteria. The record is from RNAcentral.
AGAGUUUGAUCCUGGCUCAGAUUGAACGCUGGCGGCAUGCCUUACACAUGCAAGUCGAACGGUAGAAGGAGCAAUCCUUCGAGAGUGGCGAACGGGUGAGUAAUAUAUCGGAACGUGCCCAGUCGUGGGGGAUAACGUAGAGAAAUUUACGCUAAUACCGCAUACGAUCUAAGGAUGAAAGCGGGGGACUCUGCAAGGGGCCUUGCGCGACUGGAGCGGCUGAUAUCAGAUUAGGUUGUUGGUGAGGUAAAAGCUCACCAAGCCGACGAUCUGUAGCUGGUUUGAGAGAACGACCAGCCACACUGGGACUGAGACACGGCCCAGACUCCUACGGGAGGCAGCAGUGGGGAAUUUUGGACAAUGGGCGCAAGCCUGAUCCAGCAAUGCCGCGUGCAGGAAGAAGGCCUUCGGGUUGUAAACUGCUUUUGUACGGAACGAAACGGUCUGCCUUAAUACGGUGGGCUAAUGACGGUACCGUAAGAAUAAGCACCGGCUAACUACGUGCCAGCAGCCGCGGUAAUACGUAGGGUGCGAGCGUUAAUCGGAAUUACUGGGCGUAAAGCGUGCGCAGGCGGUGAUGUAAGACAGUUGUGAAAUCCCCGGGCUCAACCUGGGAAUUGCCAUCUGUGACUGCAUCGCUAAGAGUACGGUAGAGGGGGAUGGAAUUCCGCGUGUAAGCAGUGAAAUGCGUAGAUAUGCGGAGGAACACCGAUUGGNGAAGGCAAUCCCCUGGAACUGUAACUGAGCUCAUG